AUGUGGCAAAUAGAUCAGGUGGAAGUGAUUGACCUUGUUCUUCUCUGGCAACAAGACGAUGAGGGUAGCGGUGGGCUCGACGCAGUUACCUGCUAUAAGCGCAUAGAGCUGGUGAACGACGACAACAAGCUCAUCUUUGAUGAUCUCCCAAGCGAGCUGUUAAAACCACUCUACGAGGGCUGGCGGCAUGACACAGCCCAUGAUGGACAAAUAGUCUGCGGGCAUUUACUCUUUAUCCUCAUGGGUCAAGGCAACACCACUGUCACGGGCAAUGCCGACCACGUGAUUUUUGGAGUGGCGAUGGCACACAUGGAUGUAGAAGUAGUGUCAGGACACCCAAACGUUGUGGCCAAGGUGCGACAACACAUGCUAGGCAUCGGCAACCGCCUGGUGGAAGCCAUCAAAAUUUGGCCAGAUAUCCUUGAAGUGGAACCGGUGAGCCCUAGGCAUCAGAAUCGCGGUGUACAGGAUGAAUCUACUGCCAUGGAGGAUCCCGCGCCGAAAAGAUUAACUAGUAGGCUUGGCGCCAUAGGGCGGUCGGGUCAUCGGGGUGAGCAGCGGCAGGCAAAGUUGGGCUUGGCCAUGAUGCUGCUGAUGGGAAGCCGGUCCGCCGGCGCUUGUGCCUGCCAACCAAUGCUACCGAUCACUGCUCACCGGCCGUCGUCCUUCAGCUCCAAUCUAGGCUACCGAUCACUGCACAUCUUUGCCCUCGCCAUCUUCUCCACCCAAUCGGACGGAGAAGGGAAGGGGAAGGAUCUUGAGGAAGAGUUAAGAACAAGAUUGAAUUGGCAUGGUCAUGGCACUCAUACAAUGCCUUGGUGCACCCCCUUCUCGUUGCUUGCAAAGGCAGAUCCCACAACCUCACACAUGCCACUAAUAAAGCUUCUUUUCCGAACUGGCUUUGACAAGGCGGAACUCAAGGGCUGUACGGCAGUCAUCCAUGUCAGCGUGUACCAGACAAUCAAAGAAACUUGCUUGUGUGGAAGUGUGCUGCUGCUGCAAGUUCCUGACUGUGCACAGUACUUCAUGGACAAUCUGGACCGAUUAGCUGAAGCAGAUUACGUACCAACAAAGUCUAUGCUGAAAAUAGUGAACAUGCAUGCUAAUCAAAUAUAUAGUUGGGCAAAGCAUCUUCUUAUGAUGCCACUCGGCAGCCUCUUUGGGCUAGCCUUGCCUGUGACGAAAGCCUCCGCGGCAGGAAACUGA
This 1206-nucleotide ribosomal RNA is filed under the name Triticum aestivum (bread wheat). RNAcentral describes it as "partial small subunit ribosomal RNA". Lineage: Eukaryota; Viridiplantae; Streptophyta; Magnoliopsida; Poales; Poaceae. The record is from RNAcentral.